UCCAGACUCCUACGGGAGGCAGCAGUGAGGAAUAUUGGUCAAUGGCCGAGAGGCUGAACCAGCCAAGUCGCGUGAGGGAAGACGGCCCUACGGGUUGUAAACCUCUUUUGUCGGGGAGCAAAGCGAACCACGUGUGGUUCAUUGAGAGUACCCGAAGAAAAAGCAUCGGCUAACUCCGUGCCAGCAGCCGCGGUAAUACGGAGGAUGCGAGCGUUAUCCGGAUUUAUUGGGUUUAAAGGGUGCGCAGGCGGAGGUGCAAGUCAGCGGUCAAAUUGCGGGGCUCAACCCCGGGGCUGCCGUUGAAACCGGAGCGCUAGAAUUCCGAUGCCGUCGGAGGAAUGUGUGGUGUAGCGGUGAAAUGCAUAGAUAUCACACAGAACACCGAUUGCGAAGGCAUCUGACGAAUCGGAGAUUGACGCUGAUGCACGAAAGCGUGGGUAUCGAACAGGAUUAGAUACCCGAGUA
This 465-nucleotide ribosomal RNA is filed under the name uncultured bacterium. RNAcentral's name for it is "bacterial SSU rRNA". It matches the Rfam family "Bacterial small subunit ribosomal RNA", at positions 330 to 792 of the family's 1533-position model. The record is from RNAcentral.